UACGUAGGUGGCAAGCGUUGUCCGGAAUUAUUGGGCGUAAAGAGCUCGUAGGCGGUUUGUUGCGUCUAUCGUGAAAACCUGCAGCUUAACUGUGGGCUUGCGGUGGAUACGGGCAGACUUGAGUUCGGUAGGGGAGACUGGAAUUCCUGGUGUAGCGGUGAAAAUGCGCAGAUAUCAGGAGGAACACCGGUGGCGAAGGCGGGUCUCUGGGCCGAUACUGACGCUGAGGAGCGAAAGCGUGGGGAGCGAACAGG
This 254-nucleotide ribosomal RNA is filed under the name uncultured bacterium. Its description in RNAcentral is "partial 16S ribosomal RNA". It matches the Rfam family "Bacterial small subunit ribosomal RNA", at positions 524 to 776 of the family's 1533-position model. The record is from RNAcentral.